AACGCGAAGAACCUUACCUACCCUUGACAUCCCACGAAUCCUGCAGAGAUGCGGGAGUGCCGAAAGGAAUGUGGAGACAGGUGCUGCAUGGCUGUCGUCAGCUCGUGUUGUGAGAUGUUGGGUUAAGUCCCGUAACGAGCGCAACCCUUAUCCUUAGUUGCCAACAUGUAAUGAUGGGGACUCUAAGGAGACUGCUGGUGAAGAACCGGAGGAAGGCGGGGACGACGUCAAGUCAUCAUGGCCUUUAUGGGUAGGGCUACACACGUGCUACAAUGGGGCGAACAGAGGGAAGCGAACCUGCGAAGGGGAGCGAAUCCUAUAAACCGCCUCGUAGUCCGGAUUGGAGUCUGCAACUCGACUCCAUGAAGUUGGAAUCGCUAGUAAUCGCGAAUCAGAACGUCGCGGUGAAUACGUUCCCGGGCCUUGUACACACCGACGCGUA
RNAcentral lists this ribosomal RNA (442 nucleotides) under uncultured bacterium. RNAcentral describes it as "bacterial SSU rRNA". It matches the Rfam family "Bacterial small subunit ribosomal RNA", at positions 958 to 1399 of the family's 1533-position model. The record is from RNAcentral.